This 460-nucleotide ribosomal RNA is filed under the name uncultured bacterium. RNAcentral's name for it is "partial 16S ribosomal RNA". It matches the Rfam family "Bacterial small subunit ribosomal RNA", at positions 338 to 795 of the family's 1533-position model. The record is from RNAcentral.
CCUACGGGAGUCAGCAGUGAGGAAUAUUGGUCAAUGGACGCAAGUCUGAACCAGCCAUGCCGCGUGCAGGAAGACGGCUCUAUGAGUUGUAAACUGCUUUUGUACGAGGGUAAACGCAGAUACACGUAUCUGUCUGCAAGUAUCGUACGAAUAAGGAUCGGCUAACUCCGUGCCAGCAGCCGCGGUAAUACGGAGGAUUCAAGCGUUAUCCGGAUUUAUUGGGUUUAAUGGGUGCGUAGGCGGUCGGAUAAGUUAGAGGUGAAAUCCCGAGGCUCAACUUCGGAAUUGCCUCUGAUACUGUUCGGCUAGAGAGUAGUUGCGGUAGGCGGAAUGUAUGGUGUAGCGGUGAAAUGCUUAGAGAUCAUACAGAACACCGAUUGCGAAGGCAGCUUACCAAGCUACUUCUGACGUUGAGGCACGAAAGCGUGGGGAGCAAACAGGAUUAGAUACCCCUGUAGUC